This 497-nucleotide ribosomal RNA is filed under the name uncultured bacterium. Its description in RNAcentral is "partial 16S ribosomal RNA". It matches the Rfam family "Bacterial small subunit ribosomal RNA", at positions 28 to 507 of the family's 1533-position model. The record is from RNAcentral.
GAUGAACGCUGGCAGCGUGCCUAAUACAUGCAAGUCUAGCGAACAGACGAGGAGCUUGCUCCUCUGACGUUAACGGCGGACAGGUCAGUACUCCGUGGAAAACCUACCUAUUGGACUGGAAUGACUACGGGAAACCGGAGCUAAUAACGGAAACUAUAUUUAACCAAAGGGUUCAGUAGUGAAAGACAGCUUUGCGGUCACUUAGCGAGGGAUACACGCCGCAGUAGCUGAUUGCUAAGGUGAGGGCGUACCAAGGCGACGAUGCGUAGCCGACCGGAGAGGGUGAUUGGCCGCCCUGGAACUGAGACACGGUCCAGACGCCUACGGGAGGCAGCAGUAGGGAAUCUUCCGCAAUGGGCGAAAGCCUGACGGAGCAACGCCGCGUGAGUGAUGAAGGUCUUCGGAUCGUAAAACUCUGUUAUUAGGGAAGAACAAAUGUGUAAGUAACUAUGCACGUCUUGACGGUACCUAAUCAGAAAGCCACGGCUAACUACGUG